RNAcentral lists this long non-coding RNA (921 nucleotides) under Capsella rubella. RNAcentral describes it as "long non-coding RNA (CRUB_LNC003987)". The record is from RNAcentral. Lineage: Eukaryota; Viridiplantae; Streptophyta; Magnoliopsida; Brassicales; Brassicaceae.
UCGUUUAAUGUAUUCAUUCAUAUAGUUUGGGUGCAGAGAAAAACAAGAAACAAAUUCUAUAUUUGUAUUGAAAAGAUUAAAUAAGAUAACAUCAAAACAAAUCUUUUGCAUUUGUAAGUAAUAAGGAUUAAGGACUAAGGAGUGAUUAAAAAGGGAUGAGAUGUUUAAGAGAUACAAAUCCCGAGAGCAAAAGUGGUGGGCAAAGAGCAUGUGCGACCUCAGGCCUCCUCUCUUCUACAACGGUAUAAAUGCCUCAGCUUCCGCAUCAUCCUUAUAAAUAUAUCCCACCGUUUAGCGUGUUAUGUGCACGUUCUAAAUCCAAAACAAACCUACAUGAGAAGAUGAAACAGUAAAAAAAACAAAAAGUUACAUUUAACAUUUUGGUUCUUUCUUUCUCAUCCUCCUUUUCACAAAAUUGUGCAUCGACUUCCAUAACUCUUAUAUUACGUUUGAACAAGUCGAGCCUAUUAAGAAAUAAUCAGUAUUUAUAUUGGAUUGAAGAACAAAAAUCAAAACCUUUUAUGAACUUUCUUUCUUUGUUUGUUUGUUUAUUGAGGUCAAAAGGAAUAUCCCGUAACAGUCAAAUCCAACGGCUGAGAUCAAAGGGAAGACUGUAGCGCGUGAGAGAGACAUCGAAACCAAUAUCUGUAUCUGUACUCUCUGUUCAGCCCGUUUGGUUCGGUAAAGCGCUACCGCACGUUCAAAGUCAAAUCCCAAGUUUCAACGUUUAUUACAUAAGCUUAGCAACCUCUUUGUUUUUUAUUUUGUCGGCCUAGCACCUCUUAAUUUUAGCUAUUUUUUUAUAAAUUGGUGAGCAAACUUUUAAUUAUUGGAAGUUUAACCCAAACUCUAACAUAUCGGUCCAUGAUAAUUUCAAAACUUUUGGAUGGUUUUGAAAAACCAAUUUUCUUGUUGUUGUCG